GUGGAUUCGUAGCGAGGCUACUUCAACCAUUGCGAACUCGUCCAAGUUGCUUCGGCGGCGCGGCUCCCCCUAACGGGGGCGCCGCAGCCCUGCCUCUCCGGAGGUUCGGGGCGCCCGCCGGAGGUACGAAACUCUGUAUUAUAGUGGCAUCUCUGAGUAAAAAGCAAAUAAGUUAAAACUUUCAACAACGGAUCUCUUGGUUCUGGCAUCGAUGAAGAACGCAGCGAAAUGCGAUAAGUAAUGUGAAUUGCAGAAUUCAGUGAAUCAUCGAAUCUUUGAACGCACAUUGCGCCCGGUAGUACUCUACCGGGCAUGCCUGUUCGAGCGUCAUUUCAACCCUCAAGCCCUGCUUGGUGUUGGGGCCCUACGGCUGCCGUAGGCCCUGAAAGGAAGUGGCGGGCUCGCUACAACUCCGAGCGUAGUAAUUCAUUAUCUCGCUAGGGAGGUUGCGGCGUGCUCCUGCCGUUAAAGACCCAUCUUUAACCAAGGUUGACCUCGGAUCAGGUAGGAAUACCCGCUGAACUUAAGCAUAUCAAAAGCCGGAAGAA
This 548-nucleotide ribosomal RNA is filed under the name fungal sp. TZ-2013. RNAcentral's name for it is "eukaryotic LSU rRNA". The stretch from base 177 to 330 matches the Rfam family "5.8S ribosomal RNA". The record is from RNAcentral. Lineage: Eukaryota; Fungi.